AUGGAAAGUACAUACACUCGCUGGAUAUAUCAUGGAGAAGACUUUGAUGUUGAUGUGAUUGAAGAACCUGUUCAUGUGCAUGACACCGCCGAUGGUAACAAUGGUGCUGAUCGAUUUGAGGAGAUGUUUGGAGACCUACGCACAACAGUAGAACAAGCUGAAAGUGAAACUGAAAAUCCUUCUGAGCAUGAGUCGUUUUUGAAGAACGCGAUGAAAGAGGCGAAGCAGCAACUUUAUCAUGGUUGUACCAAGUUUUCGAGGUUCUCCUUUGUGGUAAAGCUUCUUCAUUUGAAGUCAUACCAUAGGAUCACAAAUAGUUCAUUUACUGAUAUAUUGAAGAUAUUUGCUGAAGCAUUCCCUGAACCUAAUACACUCCCAAAAUCAUACGAGGAAGCAAAGAACCUUCUGAAGGAAUUAGCCCUUGGGUAUGUUUAUAUACAUGUGUGCUUUAAUAAUUUCAUUUUGUUCAGGAAGCAAUAUGCCAAUCAUGACAACUGCCCAGUUUGUGGCCUAUCAAGGUGGAAAGACCCUGCUAGAAAGAAGAUUCCACAGAAAGUGUUGAGGCAUUUUCCAUUGGUGCCUAGGCUAAGGAGGAUGUUUCUUUCCCAAAAAGGAGCAGAAGAAGCACAAUGGCACAAGCUAAAGAGGCAGCCCAGUGAGAAGGAAUUGAAUCAUCUGAUUGACGGUGAUGCAUGGAAAGAUUUUGAUAAACAAUAUCCAAAUUUUGCAAAAGAUGCUAGAAACAUUAGACUUGGCAUUGCCACUGAUGGGUUCAAUCCUUUUGGAAACUUUAACACAACCUAUAGUAUGUGGCCUAUGUUUGUUAUACCAUACAACUUUCCACCUUGGGCAUGCAUGGACCAAUCAAAUUUCAUGAUGGCUUUCCUAAUUCCAGGUCCUAAAUCACCUGGCAAGCACUUUGUUGUCUUUCUACAACCACUUGUAGAAGAAUUACUUGAGCUCUGGGAGGGUGUGCGUAAUGAAGCUUGA
This 990-nucleotide ribosomal RNA is filed under the name Triticum aestivum (bread wheat). Its description in RNAcentral is "partial small subunit ribosomal RNA". The record is from RNAcentral. Lineage: Eukaryota; Viridiplantae; Streptophyta; Magnoliopsida; Poales; Poaceae.